Cornus florida is the source of this 106-nucleotide small nucleolar RNA. Lineage: Eukaryota; Viridiplantae; Streptophyta; Magnoliopsida; Cornales; Cornaceae. The record is from RefSeq and is a predicted model, not a curated record.
AUUUGGUGGUGCGGACACUUCCUCAUAAAAUCUUAAAGUCUCUCCCACGCCUCAUAGAAUAUUUCGCCAUUAAUUUGGGAAAAACUAAGAAUGGAACGACGCAUUU